This 497-nucleotide ribosomal RNA is filed under the name uncultured bacterium. RNAcentral describes it as "partial 16S ribosomal RNA". It matches the Rfam family "Bacterial small subunit ribosomal RNA", at positions 28 to 507 of the family's 1533-position model. The record is from RNAcentral.
GAUGAACGCUGGCGGCGUGCCUAAUACAUGCAAGUCGAGCGAAAAGAUGAGGCGCUUGCGCCUCUGACGUUAGCGGAGGACGGGUGAGUAACACGUGUAUACCCUACCUAUAAGACUGGGAUCACUUCGGAAAACCGGCGCUAAUACCAUAUGAUAUAUUGAACCGCAGGGUUCAAUGGUGAGAGACGGCGUUGCUGUCACUUAUCGCUGCAUACGAGCCGCUUUGGGUAGUUGGUAAGGUAAAGGGUUACCAAGGCGAGUCUGCGUAUCCGACGGAAGAGGGUGGUCGGCGGCACUGGAGCGGGACCACGGUCCAUACUCCUACGGGAGGGAGCAGUAGGGAAUCUUCCGCAAUGGGCGAAAGCCUUACGGAGCGACGCCGCGUGAGUGAUGACGAUCCUCGGAGCGGAAUGCUCUGUUAUUAGUGAAGAACAAAUUUGUAAGUAGCCAUGGACUGCUUGACGGUACCGAGUCAGAAAGCCACGGCUAACUACGUG